Molecule: ribosomal RNA, 436 nt
Filed under: uncultured bacterium
Lineage: Bacteria
Description: bacterial SSU rRNA
Rfam family: Bacterial small subunit ribosomal RNA
Source: RNAcentral
AGCGAACGCUGGCGGCUUGCUUAACACAUGCAAGUCGGACGGGGGUGCGUAAGUGCCCCAGUGGCGGACGGGUGAGUAACGCGUAGGUAUCUAUCCAUAGGUGGGGGAUAACAUUGGGAAACUGGUGCUAAUACCGCAUAAUACCUGAGGGUUAAAGGCGUAAGUUGCCUAUGGGGGAGCCUGCGUUUGAUUAGCUAGUUGGUGGGGUAAAGGCCUACCAAGGCGAUGAUCGAUAGCUGGUUUGAGAGGAUGAUCAGCCACACUGGGACUGAGACACGGCCCAGACUCCUGCGGGAGGCAGCAGUGGGGAAUAUUGGACAAUGGGGGCAUCUCUGAUCCAGCAAUGCCGCGUGUGUGAAGAAGGUCCUCGGAUUGUAAAGCACUUUCGACGGGGACGAUGAUGACGGUACCUGUAGAAGAAGCUCCGGCUAACUUC